This 468-nucleotide ribosomal RNA is filed under the name uncultured bacterium. RNAcentral's name for it is "partial 16S ribosomal RNA". It matches the Rfam family "Bacterial small subunit ribosomal RNA", at positions 28 to 507 of the family's 1533-position model. The record is from RNAcentral.
GACGAACGCUGGCGGCGUGCUUAACACAUGCAAGUCGAACGGAAAGGGCCUGCUUUUGUGGGGUGCUCGAGUGGCGAACGGGUGAGUAACACGUGAGUAACCUGCCCUUGACUUUGGGAUAACUUCAGGAAACUGGGGCUAAUACCGGAUAGGAGCUCCUGCUGCAUGGUGGGGGUUGGAAAGUUUCGGCGGUUGGGGAUGGACUCGCGGCUUAUCAGCUUGUUGGUGGGGUAGUGGCUUACCAAGGCUUUGACGGGUAGCCGGCCUGAGAGGGUGACCGGCCACAUUGGGACUGAGAUACGGCCCAGACUCCUACGGGAGGCAGCAGUGGGGAAUAUUGCACAAUGGGCGGAAGCCUGAUGCAGCAACGCCGCGUGCGGGAUGACGGCCUUCGGGUUGUAAACCGCUUUCGCCUGUGACGAAGCGUGAGCGACGGUAAUGGGUAAAGAAGCACCGGCUAACUACGUG